Molecule: ribosomal RNA, 253 nt
Filed under: uncultured bacterium
Lineage: Bacteria
Description: partial 16S ribosomal RNA
Rfam family: Bacterial small subunit ribosomal RNA
Source: RNAcentral
UACAGAGGUGGCAAGCGUUGUUCGGAAUUACUGGGCGUAAAGGGCGCGUAGGCGGUCAGGUCAGUCCCGUGUGAAAUCCCUCGGCUCAACUGAGGAACUGCACGGGAAACUGCCUGGCUUGAGUUCGGGAGAGGGAAGCGGAAUUCCGGGUGUAGCGGUGAAAUGCGUAGAUAUCCGGAGGAACACCGGUGGCGAAGGCGGCCUCCUGGACCGACACUGACGCUGAGGCGCGAAAGCUAGGGGAGCAAACGGG